Molecule: long non-coding RNA, 283 nt
Filed under: Ictidomys tridecemlineatus (thirteen-lined ground squirrel)
Lineage: Eukaryota; Metazoa; Chordata; Mammalia; Rodentia; Sciuridae
Description: lncRNA (ENSSTOG00000031063.1)
Source: RNAcentral
GACCCUCCCCCUUGUCUGCGGCUCUUUCUCAGAGCUCCCAAGCCCUCUCUCUUGCUGGAGCCAGGUCCAAGCCAAGCAGGUGGGGAUUGCAACCUGGCUCUGGCACCAGCAGCGUGUGUGAGACCUUGAGGCGCCACAGGCUGGAGGAGCGCCCAGGAGAAGAGACAGCGGCCAGCCGAGCAGACACAGGACUGGCAAUGUUAGAUGAUGCUGCCUAGUCCAGAAACUUGAUCGGUGACAGGAGGAGCCAAUUUGAGAUCCUCAACUUGACUACAGAUCAUUC